AUACGGAGGGUGCAAGCGUUGUUCGGAAUUACUGGGCGUAAAGCGCGCGUAGGUGGUCUGUUAUGUCAGAUGUGAAAGUCCACGGCUCAACCGUGGAAGUGCAUUUGAAACUGGCAGACUUGAGUACUGGAGGGGGUAGUGGAAUUCCCGGUGUAGAGGUGAAAUUCGUAGAUAUCGGGAGGAAUACCGGUGGCGAAGGCGACUACCUGGCCAGAUACUGACACUGAGGUGCGAAAGCGUGGGGGGCAAACAGGAUUAGAAACCCUAGUAGUCC
This 274-nucleotide ribosomal RNA is filed under the name uncultured bacterium. RNAcentral's name for it is "partial 16S ribosomal RNA". It matches the Rfam family "Bacterial small subunit ribosomal RNA", at positions 523 to 796 of the family's 1533-position model. The record is from RNAcentral.